Molecule: ribosomal RNA, 382 nt
Filed under: uncultured eukaryote
Lineage: Eukaryota
Description: partial 18S ribosomal RNA
Rfam family: Eukaryotic small subunit ribosomal RNA
Source: RNAcentral
UGUAAGCGUAUACCAAAGUUGUUGCAGUUAAAACGCUCGUAGUCGGAAUUUGGCAGUUCCGGAUGUGUGCACGUCGUGUGCGCACUUCGCGGGGAUUGCUUUUGUGGUCUUGCGUAGGAUGAGGCACUUUUAUUAGUGAACGUCCUCACGCAACCACUUUUUACUGUGAGACAAUCAGAGUGCUCAAAGCAGGCAUUUGCCGUGAAUGUAUUAGCAUGGAAUAAUAGAAUAGGACUUGGUUCUAUUUUGUUGGUUUGUUGGGACUGAGUAAUGAUUAAGAGGGACAGUUGGGGGCAUUUGUAUUUCGGUGCUAGAGGUGAAAUUCUUAGAUUACCGAAAGACAAACUGCUGCGAAAGCGUCUGCCAAGGAUGUUUUCAUUGA